CCUACGGGAGGCAGCAGUGAGGAAUAUUGGUCAAUGGACGAGAGUCUGAACCAGCCAAGUAGCGUGAAGGAUGACUGCCCUAUGGGUUGUAAACUUCUUUUAUAUGGGAAUAAAAUGUUCCCCGUGUGGGAUUUUGUAUGUACCAUAUGAAUAAGGAUCGGCUAACUCCGUGCCAGCAGCCGCGGUAAUACGGAGGAUCCGAGCGUUAUCCGGAUUUAUUGGGUUUAAAGGGAGCGUAGGUGGAUUGUUAAGUCAGUUGUGAAAGUUUGCGGCUCAACCGUAAAAUUGCAGUUGAAACUGGCAGUCUUGAGUACAGUAGAGGUGGGCGGAAUUCGUGGUGUAGCGGUGAAAUGCUUAGAUAUCACGAAGAACUCCGAUUGAGAAGGCAGUUCACUGGACUGCAACUGACACUGAGGCUCGAAAGUGUGGGUAUCAAACAGGAUUAGAUACCCCGGUAGUC
Molecule: ribosomal RNA, 460 nt
Filed under: uncultured bacterium
Lineage: Bacteria
Description: partial 16S ribosomal RNA
Rfam family: Bacterial small subunit ribosomal RNA
Source: RNAcentral